UAACACAUGCAAGUCGAGGGGCAGCAUGGUCUUAGCUUGCUAAGGCCGAUGGCGACCGGCGCACGGGUGAGUAACGCGUAUCCAACCUGCCUUACACUCUUGGACAGCCUUCUGAAAGGGAGAUUAAUACAAGAUGUUAUCAUGAGUAAGCAUUUUCUCAUGAUUAAAGGUUUACCGGUGUAAGAUGGGGAUGCGUUCCAUUAGAUAGUAGGCGGGGUAACGGCCCACCUAGUCUUCGAUGGAUAGGGGUUCUGAGAGGAAGGUCCCCCACAUUGGAACUGAGACACGGUCCAAACUCCUACGGGAGGCAGCAAUGAGGAAUAUUGGUCAAUGGACGAGAGUCUGAACCAGCCAAGUAGCGUGAAGGAUGAAGGUUCUAUGGAUUGUAAACUUCUUUUAUACGGGAAUAAACGAAUCCACGCGUGGAUUUUUGCAUGUACCGUAUGAAUAAGGAUCGGCUAACUCCGUGCCAGCAGCCGCGGGAAUACUCGAGGAUCCGAGCGUUAUCCGGAUUUAUUGUGUUUAAGGGGAGCGUACAUGGGUUGUUAAGUCAGUUGUGAAAGUUUGCGGCUCACCCGUAAAAUUGCAAUUGAUACUGGCAGUCUUGAGUACAGUUGAGGUAGGCGGAAUUCGUGGUGUAUCGGUGAAAUGCUUAAAUAUCACGAAGAACUCUCAUUGCUAAUGCACCUUACUAACCUGUAACUGACAUUGAUGC
Molecule: ribosomal RNA, 715 nt
Filed under: uncultured organism
Description: SSU rRNA
Rfam family: Bacterial small subunit ribosomal RNA
Source: RNAcentral